GUUAAUGUAGCUUAAUAUUUAAAGCAAAACACUGAAAAUGUCUAGACAGGUCAUCAUCACCCAUAAACA
This 69-nucleotide transfer RNA is filed under the name Callithrix jacchus (white-tufted-ear marmoset). It matches the Rfam family "tRNA". From Rfam's summary of the family: Transfer RNA (tRNA) molecules are approximately 80 nucleotides in length. Their secondary structure includes four short double-helical elements and three loops (D, anti-codon, and T loops). Further hydrogen bonds mediate the characteristic L-shaped molecular structure. tRNAs have two regions of fundamental functional importance: the anti-codon, which is responsible for specific mRNA codon recognition, and the 3' end, to which the tRNAs corresponding amino acid is attached (by aminoacyl-tRNA synthetases). tRNAs cope with the degeneracy of the genetic code in two manners: having more than one tRNA (with a specific anti-codon) for a particular amino acid; and 'wobble' base-pairing, i.e. permitting non-standard base-pairing at the 3rd anti-codon position. The record is from Rfam by way of RNAcentral. Lineage: Eukaryota; Metazoa; Chordata; Mammalia; Primates; Cebidae.